This 216-nucleotide ribosomal RNA is filed under the name uncultured bacterium. RNAcentral describes it as "partial 16S ribosomal RNA". It matches the Rfam family "Bacterial small subunit ribosomal RNA", at positions 118 to 351 of the family's 1533-position model. The record is from RNAcentral.
UGGAUAUCUGCCUUUUGGUUCGGAAUAACCCCGGGAAACUGGGGCUAAUACCGGAUGGUUCCUUCGGGAUAAAGAUUUAUCGCCAAAAGAUGAGUCCGCGUACGAUUAGCUAGUUGGUGAGGUAAUGGCUCACCAAGGCGACGAUCGUUAGCUAGUCUGAGAGGACGAUCAGCCACACUGGGACUGAGACACGGCCCAGACUCCUACGGGAGGCAG